RNAcentral lists this ribosomal RNA (253 nucleotides) under uncultured bacterium. RNAcentral describes it as "partial 16S ribosomal RNA". It matches the Rfam family "Bacterial small subunit ribosomal RNA", at positions 524 to 776 of the family's 1533-position model. The record is from RNAcentral.
UACAGAGGACUCGAGCGUUGUUCGGAUUCAUUGGGCGUAAAGGGCGCGUAGGCGGCGGGGUAAGUCUGGUGUGAAAUCUCGGAGCUCAACUCCGAAAUUGCACUGGAUACUGCUCUGCUAGAGGGCUGGAGAGGAGAUCGGAAUUCACGGUGUAGCAGUGAAAUGCGUAGAUAUCGUGAGGAAGACCAGUGGCGAAGGCGGAUCUCUGGACAGCUCCUGACGCUGAGGCGCGAAGGCUAGGGGAGCAAACGGG